Long non-coding RNA from Macrobrachium nipponense, 1032 nucleotides. RefSeq lists it as uncharacterized. The record is from RefSeq and is a predicted model, not a curated record. The transcript is spliced from 3 exons. Lineage: Eukaryota; Metazoa; Arthropoda; Malacostraca; Decapoda; Palaemonidae.
AGGAUGUCAAGAUGGCGGUGGUUGAAUAUCAGGAGGAUCCCGGAUCUAGACAGAUGACGCUCAUUUUAUAUGAUACUAGUUCUAGCUAUGAGCCCAAGAGUGAUGCCCAUGUGUUAGUGAAAAUUACUUAAUGCAAAAGAGGUCAUCUUAUUUUGGGACAUCCAAAACUGGAACACUAAAUGUAAUCCAGUCCCAAGGAAGGAGCUAAAGAAUAACUACAUUAAGCCAAUCAUAAGAACGGUAGUGUUUUAUGUUUGUUUUUAAAGCUGGCCAGGAAGAAAGCCAUGGCCAAGAAGUCGUGAGAGAACCCCCCAGCGAAAGUAUGAUAUGGAAGCACUCAAACAGUUGAGAAAGAACAAACACUACACACCAAUGAUAAGUAGAUAACAGCAGGAUGACUGACAAGAGAAAAGCACACUACAAGAAAGGAACUUCCAGAAGUGCUAAAAAAAAAAAAAAAAAAAAAAAAGGAGAGCAGGAUGCGUGACUGGAGAGAAAGCUAUACACAAGCAAUACAAGGGGGCCAGAGAGAAAACUACCAGAAGAGCUAUGAGAGACGGCAAGAAGACUGACUGCAGAAAAAAAGCUCCACUCACUACAAGGAUAUGACUGAUUGGAGAGAGAACCCCACACGCUACAUGGAUUAGUGAGACAGCAUGAUGACUGUAUCCAAACUCCCCCCACACACAACAAGGAAGAAGAAACGACCGGAAGAGCCUUGAGAGAAGGCCUGACAUCCACUCACUACAAGGAUAUGACUGAUUGGAGAGAGAACCCCACACGCUACAUGGAAUAGUGAGAGCAUGAUGACUGGCUGGAUACAAACUCCCACACACACAACAAGGAAGAAGAAAUGACCGGAAGAGCCUUGAGAGAGGAGCGAGACAGUUGGAUAACUGAUUGUAGAGAGCGCUACACUACUAGAAAGAGGGGAACUACCAGAAGAGCCAGAGAGGGGUAACAGGAUGAUUGGAGAGAAAGCCCCCCACACCACAAAAAGUCGUUAAUUAGGAGGAUGACUGACUGAAGAGA